Long non-coding RNA from Chiloscyllium plagiosum (whitespotted bambooshark), 732 nucleotides. RefSeq lists it as uncharacterized. Lineage: Eukaryota; Metazoa; Chordata; Chondrichthyes; Orectolobiformes; Hemiscylliidae. The record is from RefSeq and is a predicted model, not a curated record.
GUUUCUAAUAUUGGUUCCUCCUGCACAUGAAAGGAACAUUAUUCUGACAGCAGUCUCACUACCCUUGGGUGUUAUCCGAAGAGCAUGUUUUAUACCCACCUAAUGCAUUUGAGGAAACCCUAACCAGAGUCUGAAUUUUGCCAGUGAUUCUAACCUCGACGUUGAGGAGGAGUUUAGAUAUGAACCUCAUCAAGUUAAGGAAGAAUAACCGAUGUGAGAAUAAUGUCAGAAGAGCAAGUGCAAAACAAAAAGAAAAAUCUAACACUCAAAGUGUCAAAGAUGCAACCCAGCACUUGUGCCUGUUGGCGCGUCAAUUGCUGCAGACCACCAGCGCAGUUCUAAACAGCUGCAGAUGGAUGCCAGUUCAUGAAAGCUAUACAAACAGUGGGCAGCAAGUGUAGGCCUACAGCAAUGUGUCAGUGUGACACUGAGCCCUUCGUAGAAUGUGGAUGAAGCAAGAGAUAUGGAGCAAGGCCUUCAGUUACACUGGAGUUGAUUUGUUGGCACAGUUUAGAUGUGGUGAACAGAAAAGAACUCAAAGCUUGUCAGGCUUUUAAAACCCAGCUCUGAGUCACCUCAUCACUUUUCUCUCUCUACUUUAUUUCCUCUUCUGCUCUUGUUAACCUGCAGUUACACGUGCUGUUCCUUUACUUUUGUUACUCAAUAAAGAAUCACGUUAGCUGUAGCUUUAAAUGAACAGAUCAUGUGGGCCAUUUCUGGUUACAGUCUUUA